UGGGGAAUCUUGGACAAUGGGCGCAAGCCUGAUCCAGCCAUGCCGCGUGAGUGAUGAAGGCCUUAGGGUUGUAAAGCUCUUUUUGGCGGGGACGAUAAUGACGGUACCCGCAGAAUAAGUCCCGGCUAACUUCGUGCCAGCAGCCGCGGUAAUACGAAGGGGACUAGCGUUGUUCGGAAUCACUGGGCGUAAAGCGCACGUAGGCGGAUCGUUAAGUCGGGGGUGAAAUCCUGGAGCUCAACUCCAGAACUGCCUUCGAUACUGGCGAUCUCGAGUCCGGAAGAGGUGAGUGGAACUCCUAGUGUAGAGGUGGAAUUCGUAGAUAUUAGGAAGAACACCAGUGGCGAAGGCGGCUCACUGGUCCGGUACUGACGCUGAGGUGCGAAAGCGUGGGGAGCAAACAGGAUUAGAUACCCCCGUAGUCCCUGAGCGGGCUGGCAAGGCGCAU
This 448-nucleotide ribosomal RNA is filed under the name uncultured bacterium. Its description in RNAcentral is "bacterial SSU rRNA". It matches the Rfam family "Bacterial small subunit ribosomal RNA", at positions 355 to 825 of the family's 1533-position model. The record is from RNAcentral.